This 381-nucleotide ribosomal RNA is filed under the name uncultured bacterium. RNAcentral describes it as "bacterial SSU rRNA". It matches the Rfam family "Archaeal small subunit ribosomal RNA", at positions 473 to 853 of the family's 1478-position model. The record is from RNAcentral. RNAcentral also lists the same sequence under 1 other name.
AUACCGGCAGUCCAAGUGAUGGCCGCUAUUAUUGGGCCUAAAGCGUCCGUAGCCAGCCAGACAGGUCCGUCGGGAAAUCCACUCGCUCAACGAGUGGGCGUCCGACGGAAACCAGCUGGCUUGGGGCCGGAAGACCUGAGGGGUACGUCCGGGGUAGGAGUGAAAUCCUGUAAUCUUGGACGGACCACCGGUGGCGAAAGCGCCUCAGGAAGACGGACCCGACGGUGAGGGACGAAAGCUAGGGUCACGAACCGGAUUAGAUACCCGGGUAGUCCUAGCUGUAAACGAUGCUCGCUAAGUAUGGCACACACUACGAGUGUGUGCUGUGCUGUAGUGAAGACGAGAAGCGAGCCGCCUGGGAAGUACGUCCGCAAGGAUGAA